UGGGUAGUCCGCACGAGCGCACCUUACUUUUAGUUGCUACCAUUUAGUUGGGCACUCUAAAAGAACUGCCAGUGAUAAGCUGGAGGAAGGUGGGGAUGACGUCAAGUCCUCAUGGCCCUUAUGUGUUGGGCUACACACGUGCUACAAUGGUAUUUACAGUGGGAUGCAAAGAGGCAACUCCAAGCCAACCCUCAAAGAAUACCUCAGUUCGGAUUGUACUCUGCAACUCGAGUACAUGAAGCUGGAAUUACUAGUAAUCGCGGAUCAGCGCGCCGCGGUGAAUACGUUCCCGGGUCUUGUACACACCGCCCGUCACACCAUGGAAGUUGGUUACACCUUAAGGCAAAGUGUAAAACCUUUGACUACGGUACGAUCAGCGACUGGGGUGAAGUCGUAACAAGGUAGCCGUAGGGGAACCUGCGGCUGGAUCACCUCCUUUCU
Molecule: ribosomal RNA, 441 nt
Filed under: uncultured Pelagibacterales bacterium
Lineage: Bacteria; Pseudomonadati; Pseudomonadota; Alphaproteobacteria; Candidatus Pelagibacterales
Description: bacterial SSU rRNA
Rfam family: Bacterial small subunit ribosomal RNA
Source: RNAcentral